AAAAUUGGAUAAGUUUGAAGGAGUUGAUUUUUCGAAGAUGGCAAAAAUGAUAGUAGGAUUUUACUCAAUUAAUCCCUAAAACACUAUCUUGUCGUUGUAGUAUUUUAGGAUGUCAAUCCAAUCCGGUGUGAUGCAAACAGAUGAGAUAUGAUCAGAAAGCUCUAAGUCAAGCCAAGAAGAUAGUUGGUUGGUUCUAACAGUCCUAGUAUGCAAUAACAGAAAUGAAGUGAAAUUAAAAGCAGGAAUGGCAAUAGCAGGCAAGUGAAUGACAAAGCAGAAAUGAUAACAGGCAAUCAAAUGGAUAAACGAUUCCUAAGGAUGGGGUAAUCGAAUAGUGUGGUCUACUUAAUCUAUUCAGGCGGUUGACAAAACUUCACAGAAGCUAUCCCUAGACAACAAGUUCAACAACAGAUUAAUUCACUCCCGUGAUAGAAAUCCUCAAGCAAAGCUAGACACUGACUUAAAUCCCUUUAGCGAUCUCUAACUAAGCAGGCAUUAUCGAAUCAACAUGUUAAAGUCAAUACCCUCUCUACAGCCAAUCCCUUGGGGUAGAGUCAGAUAUCUCUGGAAUUAAUAGGAUCCAACGCCCAUUAAACGCCUUCUGAGCGCUGGACGUCUGGACUCAUACUCCACAUUAGCCAGUGAAAUAAGCAAUAAGCGCAACUAAUCCAGAAGGGAUUCUAGUAUUCUAAACUCAACCACCUAAAACGACCAAGUAAACCACAACUAUUCUAUCCCAUCCUCAGAAAUACAGUUCACUACUCAGACAUAAUCAAAGACAAUAACAAAGCAACAAUUGAAAACAUGAUAACAGAAAAUGACGAAAGACUUAAACGAAAACUGAAUAUCAAAUACUUGAAAACGAAACUACAAAGUCGCAGGAGAAACACUGCGGCUAUCAAAGUUGCAAAAAUGUAAAAGCGAAAUAAAAAGGGAUAAUAGCGGAUGCUAGCCGACGCCCUAGGAAAACCCUAAGAGGUAGUUUAUAUAAGCGAAAAAAUGAAACAAAUAAGGAAACUAAAUAUAUAGCGAAUCUUCACGUCAUGAUCCUGCGACCGAAUGUGUCAUUGGAAUCUGACGGGCUGAAAUGAGCUUCCUAGUGAUCGAGUAUGUCAUUGAUCAAACUGGGCUUCAGGGGCUCCGUCUUGCGAUCGAGUGAAAUGCAGUGAAGUCGAGAUUGAAUGGUCCAGCGACCUUGUGAUCGAGUGAAGCGAUCGAGUGGAUGUCAUGAGGGUGUGAUCGAGUGGUUUCUUCGCCUUCUCUUCUCUUCUUUGUUCUCAACUUGUUUGGUUGAGUGCAGAAUGAGCAGAUAGGCUUCCUGGUGAUAGAGUGGUGAUCGAGUGGUUCUGAUGGGGUGAUUCCUCCGGCUUCGCGAUUGAGUGAAACUGAGCUGUUUGCUUCUCCGGGGUUGCGAUAGAGUGAUUUGCCCUGGCAGGGCUCCGAGGCUGCGAUAGAGUACUUUUGCUGAAGGCGUCAUUGGGCAUUCUGACUUCAUGUUCUGUUUUUCCUCUGUUUGAACUCCAAAAGCAUCCAAAGUACCUGAAAACAACCAAAUAUGCCAUGCACAUGCAAUCCUAAUGCAAAAUCGUCCUAAAUAUGUAAAACACACUAAAACGACUCCUAAUGAGAUGAAAUGUGGAUGAAACAAUGACAAAGUGGUGAAGAAUGAAUGCCUAAAUCAUGCAAAUUAUAGACAUAUCAACUCCCCCAAACUUAGUCUUUGCUUGCCCUCAAGCAAACAAGAAGACAUAAGCAGAAGGAGAGGUUUGAAGUUGGGGAUUCAGAACCAAAGCAUGAGAUAUGACAAUUAAGAUCAAUGUACCAGCUAACAGUUCUAAGAUGCGAGGUGAUCGACUUCUACUCAAAAACUUUAGCCAUGCUCUGUUAUGAUCCAAACCUACACUCAAAUGCACAAUGCGUCAAGAUCAACCAAUCCCUUUAACAUUCAUUAAGUUCAAAAACAUGAAUCAAGAUAUGCAUCGCUAGUGAACUCAUUUGGCUAAUGACAGGUUAUGAGACAAAGAUGGUCCCUUUUUAGUGGUUCAGAUUUUAAUAGCAGAGGACUCUCAAUGAAAAAGGACUGAGCUUUAGAAGAAUGCUAAAGGUAAGUGCCAACCCAUGUAUACAAGAAUAGCACCCCAUCUACCCAAUGACAUAAACCGUGAAUAACAAGUAGAUGGUCCUAUCUCUAAACCCAAUGAUGAUCCUAAGUCUACCCUUUUGCAAUAAAAGCAUAAUUCGAUUUUUUCUUGGAUCAAUGUUUCCUUUUCUUUUCUUUGGCUCUUGUUCUUAAGGAGAAGCUUUUCUUAAACUCUAUGAGUCUAGUCUAGUGAAUUGGUUUUUUUCUUAAACUCUUAUGGCUCUUAUCAUCAUUUUUUUUUUUCUUUUUCUGUUUUUGUUGCCAUCUAUUUUUUUUAGAGCAUAUCUUAACAAUUCUAUGCUUCCCAAACAUUCACUAGACCACAAUAUGAUUUUCAGCUUCUUUCUCCUAAAGACUCUAACCCAUCUUUUUUUUUUU
This 2518-nucleotide small RNA is filed under the name Arabidopsis thaliana (thale cress). RNAcentral's name for it is "ATSL203610". Lineage: Eukaryota; Viridiplantae; Streptophyta; Magnoliopsida; Brassicales; Brassicaceae. The record is from RNAcentral.